This 505-nucleotide ribosomal RNA is filed under the name uncultured bacterium. RNAcentral's name for it is "partial 16S ribosomal RNA". It matches the Rfam family "Bacterial small subunit ribosomal RNA", at positions 28 to 507 of the family's 1533-position model. The record is from RNAcentral.
GACGAACGCUGGCGGCGUGCCUAAUACAUGCAAGUAGAACGCACAGUUUAUACCGUAGCUUGCUACACCAUAGACUGUGAGUUGCGAACGGGUGAGUAACGCGUAGGUAACCUGCCUGGUAGCGGGGGAUAACUAUUGGAAACGAUAGCUAAUACCGCAUAAUAUUAAUUAUUGCAUGAUAAUUAAUUGAAAGGUGCAAUUGCACCACUACCAGAUGGACCUGCGUUGUAUUAGCUAGUAGGUGAGGUAACGGCUCACCUAGGCGACGAUACAUAGCCGACCUGAGAGGGUGAUCGGCCACACUGGGACUGAGACACGGCCCAGACUCCUACGGGAGGCAGCAGUAGGGAAUCUUCGGCAAUGGACGAAAGUCUGACCGAGCAACGCCGCGUGAGUGAAGAAGGUUUUCGGAUCGUAAAGCUCUGUUGUAAGAGAAGAACGGGUGUGAGAGUGGAAAGUUCACACUGUGACGGUAUCUUACCAGAAAGGGACGGCUAACUACGCG